GAUGAACGCUGGCGGCAUGCCUAAUACAUGCAAGUCGAACGAGAGGAAGGAAAGCUUGCUUUUCUGAAUCUAGUGGCGAACGGGUGAGUAACACGUAGGUAACCUGCCCAUGUGCCCGGGAUAACUUCUGGAAACGGAUGCUAAAACCGGAUAGGUAGCAGACAAGCAUUUGACUGCUAUUAAAGUGGCUAAGGCCAUGAACAUGGAUGGACCUGCGGUGCAUUAGCUAGUUGGUGAGGUAACGGCCCACCAAGGCGACGAUGCAUAGCCGGACUGAGAGGGCGGACGGCCACAUUGGGACUGGGACACGGCCCAAACUCCUACGGGAGGCAGCGGUAGGGAAUUUUCGUCAAUGGGGGGAACCCUGAACGAGCAAUGCCGCGUGAGUGAGGAAGGUCUUCGGAUCGUAAAGCUCUGUUGUAAGAGAAAAACGACAUUCAUAGGGAAUGAUGAGUGAGUGAUGGUAUCUUACCAGAAAGUCACGGCUAACUACGUGCCAGCCGCCGCCGUAA
RNAcentral lists this ribosomal RNA (512 nucleotides) under uncultured bacterium. Its description in RNAcentral is "partial 16S ribosomal RNA". It matches the Rfam family "Bacterial small subunit ribosomal RNA", at positions 28 to 523 of the family's 1533-position model. The record is from RNAcentral.